UACGAGGGGGGCGAGCGUUGUUCGGAAUUAUUGGGCGUAAAGGGUGCGUAGGCGGUUUGGUAAGUCUGAUGUGAAAUCUAUGGGCUCAACUCAUAGUCUGCAUCGGAAACUGCCGGGCUUGAGUAUGGGAGAGGUGAGUGGAAUUCCUGGUGUAGCGGUGAAAUGCGUAGAUAUCAGGAGGAACACCUGUGGCGAAAGCGGCUCACUGGACAGGUACUGACACUCAACUACGAAAGCGUGGGGAGCAAACAGG
RNAcentral lists this ribosomal RNA (253 nucleotides) under uncultured bacterium. RNAcentral describes it as "partial 16S ribosomal RNA". It matches the Rfam family "Bacterial small subunit ribosomal RNA", at positions 524 to 776 of the family's 1533-position model. The record is from RNAcentral.